RNAcentral lists this ribosomal RNA (428 nucleotides) under uncultured bacterium. Its description in RNAcentral is "bacterial SSU rRNA". It matches the Rfam family "Bacterial small subunit ribosomal RNA", at positions 355 to 776 of the family's 1533-position model. The record is from RNAcentral.
UGGGGAAUAUUGGACAAUGGGGGCAACCCUGAUCCAGCGAUGCCGCGUGAGUGAAGAAGGCCUUCGGGUCGUAAAGCUCUUUAGGUUGGGAAGAAGGUUAUAGGAGGAAAUGCUUGUAACUUGACGGUACCGACAGAAUAAGCACCGGCAAACUCUGUGCCAGCAGCCGCGGUAAUACAGAGGGUGCGAGCGUUAAUCGGAUUUACUGGGCGUAAAGGGCGCGUAGGCGGUUGAAUGAGUGUGAUGUGAAAGCCCCGGGCUUAACCUGGGAAGAGCAUCGCAAACGAUUCGACUAGAGUAUAUGAGAGGGUGGCGGAAUUUCCGGUGUAGCGGUGAAAUGCGUAGAGAUCGGAAGGAACGUCGAUGGCGAAGGCAGCCACCUGGCAUAAUACUGACGCUGAGGCGCGAAAGCGUGGGGAGCGAACAGG